UACAGAGGGUGCAAGCGUUGCUCGGAUUUACUGGGCGUAAAGCGCACGUAGGCGGCUUUGUAAGUUAGAGGUGAAAGCCCAGGGCUCAACCCUGGAAUUGCCUUUAAGACUGCAUCGCUUGAACAUCGGAGAGGUAAGUGGAAUUCCGAGUGUAGAGGUGAAAUUCGUAGAUAUUCGGAAGAACACCAGUGGCGAAGGCGACUUACUGGACGAUUGUUGACGCUGAGGUGCGAAAGCGUGGGGAGCAAACAGG
RNAcentral lists this ribosomal RNA (253 nucleotides) under uncultured bacterium. RNAcentral describes it as "partial 16S ribosomal RNA". It matches the Rfam family "Bacterial small subunit ribosomal RNA", at positions 524 to 776 of the family's 1533-position model. The record is from RNAcentral.